This 581-nucleotide long non-coding RNA is filed under the name Homo sapiens (human). RNAcentral's name for it is "non-protein coding LINC00205:16". The record is from RNAcentral. Lineage: Eukaryota; Metazoa; Chordata; Mammalia; Primates; Hominidae.
AACUCAGCAGGGUCAGGUCUGGGCACUCCAGGCCGCCAGCCCCCUGAGUGAGCCCUGGGCCGGAGGUAGUUGUGGGUCACAGGCACCCCAGCCAGAACACCCACAGUGGGUAGAUGUGUGGGGACCGGAUGUGGGUCCUCUCCUGAGAGACGUGCAGAUGGGGAGAGGCUGGGCAGUUCUCAGCACAGCUGGAGCAUCUACCUGUCACCACCUCGGAGCCUCCUGGCCCCGUGGGGGCGGCCCUGGGAGCAGGGUCGGCAGUGAAGAGCAGAGAAAGGCAGUUGGGGAUGUUGCCACUGUCCCCCGAGACCACCCUGCCAUGGAGACGAGGGAGCUGUCCCUUCGCGGAAGGGGGCUGGCCAGCAAGAAGGACAGAGAGUGGACUGGCCGAGGACCGCUGAGCUCAGGACCCAAGGAGGACUCUUCUAGGAGACGAGAGAGCGAACGCCAGGGACCCUGUGCAGGCCUGCUCCUCCGUUUGCAAGGGCAGGACUCGGAUCCAGGCCAGCAGCUGCCCAGCCCAAGGCUCCUUGCACCACCGUGUGAGCCACAUACUUUCCGGAUAGGAGAAGGUCCAGAAG